UUAUGAAUACAUGUAAGUAAAAUAUCAUAUGUUUGUAUUAAUUGAGAAAAGAGGUGUUGCUUCACGAAAUAAUUCUCAACAACUAAUUUUAUAUCAUUUUCAGUAAGCAUUCGGUAGAUUAACUAUUCUUCAGUUACAUGCAAAUUAUCGUAAGAUAUUUCAAAGUUAGACGCUAUGUACGCAAUGAUUGAGUGUCAGUGUAACCGAAAACAUUCAUCUAUGAUUGAGAUAAUAAGUCCACAAGAACCUCAGUUAGUUGGAUGGGUGGGCUUGGUUACAUUUUCCGAAAAACAAAAUUCGAUUAAUGAGUACAGGUGGGAACAAAAGAUUAAGAUUCUUAUGCUCUAAUUGGUGAUCAAGUUGAAUGAAAAAAAUUAUGGUGAAUUAUUUGUUUCUCCGAUUUUGUAGCAGCUGUGUUGAAUUUUUUGUCAAAUUAUUGGCAUGCGGGUCCCACU
RNAcentral lists this long non-coding RNA (455 nucleotides) under Brassica napus (rape). RNAcentral describes it as "long non-coding RNA (BNAP_LNC010533)". Lineage: Eukaryota; Viridiplantae; Streptophyta; Magnoliopsida; Brassicales; Brassicaceae. The record is from RNAcentral.